ACUCUUUGUGCUUGCCGUCGACACAUUGGGGCGCCUCUUCCGUCGCGCGACCGAGCUCAAAUCCUGCAGCAACUACACCCUCGCCGUGCACUCCCCGUCCUCUCGUUGUACGCGGACGAUGUCAUACUCUUCUGCCACCCCACGACGCACGACACACUCGCCGUCCGAGAAAUCCUGCAGCUAUUUGGCCGAGCGUCAGGCCUUCGGGUCAACUUCCUGAAGAGCACGGCUACGAUGAUCCGAUGCGACGGCGACAUGGCUGCCCCGGCCAUCGCCAACCUUGGCUGCCCAAUCGCGGCGCUGCCCAUCACCUACCUGGGGAUCCUACUCACCCUUGGACGCCCAUCCGCUGCACAACUGCAGCCCCUAGUCGACAAGGCCGCU
RNAcentral lists this ribosomal RNA (384 nucleotides) under Triticum aestivum (bread wheat). RNAcentral describes it as "partial small subunit ribosomal RNA". The record is from RNAcentral. Lineage: Eukaryota; Viridiplantae; Streptophyta; Magnoliopsida; Poales; Poaceae.